AAAGAUUUAUCGGUGAUGGAUGGGGAUGCGUCUGAUUAGCUUGUUGGCGGGGUAACGGCCCACCAAGGCGACGAUCAGUAGGGGUUCUGAGAGGAAGGUCCCCCACAUUGGAACUGAGACACGGUCCAAACUCCUACGGGAGGCAGCAGUGAGGAAUAUUGGUCAAUGGGCGAGAGCCUGAACCAGCCAAGUAGCGUGAAGGAUGAAGGUCCUACGGAUUGUAAACUUCUUUUAUACGGGAAUAAAGUAUCCUACGUGUAGGAUUUUGUAUGUACCGUAUGAAUAAGCAUCGGCUAACUCCGUG
RNAcentral lists this ribosomal RNA (304 nucleotides) under uncultured bacterium. RNAcentral's name for it is "bacterial SSU rRNA". It matches the Rfam family "Bacterial small subunit ribosomal RNA", at positions 202 to 507 of the family's 1533-position model. The record is from RNAcentral.